RNAcentral lists this ribosomal RNA (468 nucleotides) under uncultured bacterium. RNAcentral describes it as "partial 16S ribosomal RNA". It matches the Rfam family "Bacterial small subunit ribosomal RNA", at positions 28 to 507 of the family's 1533-position model. The record is from RNAcentral.
GACGAACGCUGGCGGCGUGCUUAACACAUGCAAGUCGAACGGAAAGGCCCUGCUUUUGUGGGGUGCUCGAGUGGCGAACGGGUGAGUAACACGUGAGUAACCUGCCCUUGACUUUGGGAUAACUUCAGGAAACUGGGGCUAAUACCGGAUAGGAGCUCCUGCUGCAUGGUGGGGGUUGGAAAGUUUCGGCGGUUGGGGAUGGACUCGGGGCUUAUCAGCUUGUUGGUGGGGUAGUGGCUUACCAAGGCUUUGACGGGUAGCCGGCCUGAGAGGGUGACCGGGCACAUUGGGACUGAGAUACGGCCCAGACUCCUACGGGAGGCAGCAGUGGGGAAUAUUGCACAAUGGGCGGAAGCCUGAUGCAGCAACGCCGCGUGCGGGAUGACGGCCUUCGGGUUGUAAACCGCUUUCGCCUGUGACGAAGCGUGAGUGACGGUAAUGGGUAAAGAAGCACCGGCUAACUACGUG